CCCCCUACGGGGCGCAGCAGUGGGGAAUAUUGCACAAUGGGGGGAACCCUGAUGCAGCGACGCCGCGUGGUGAAGGAGUACUUCGGUACGUAAAGCCCUAUCAGCAGGAAAGAAAAUGACGGUACCUGACUAAGAAGCCCCGGCUAACUACGUGCCAGCAGCCGCGGUAAUACGUAGGGGGCAAGCGUUAUCCGGAAUUACUGGGCGUAAAGGGUGCGUAGGUGGUUUCUUAAGUCAGAGGUGAAAGGCUACGGCUCAACCGUAGUAAGCCUUUGAAACUGGGGAACUUGAGUGCAGGAGAGGAG
This 305-nucleotide ribosomal RNA is filed under the name uncultured bacterium. RNAcentral describes it as "bacterial SSU rRNA". It matches the Rfam family "Bacterial small subunit ribosomal RNA", at positions 335 to 659 of the family's 1533-position model. The record is from RNAcentral.